Molecule: ribosomal RNA, 385 nt
Filed under: Ranitomeya summersi
Lineage: Eukaryota; Metazoa; Chordata; Amphibia; Anura; Dendrobatidae
Description: partial 12S ribosomal RNA
Source: RNAcentral
GGGAACUACGAGCCAAGCUUAAAACCCAAAGGACUUGACGGUACCCCAUAUCCCCCUAAAGGAGCCUGUCCUAUAAUCGAUAACCCCCGUUUAACCUCACCAUUUCUAGCAACUCAGCCUGUAUACCUCCGUCGUCAGCUUACCACGUGAGCGCUAGUGAGCUCAAUGUUUUUUCAACUAAACGUCAGGUCAAGGUGCCACACAUGAAGGGGGNAAGAGAUGGGCUACACUUUCUAAAAAUAUAUCACACGGAAGACUAACUAUGAAAUCUAGUUUGAAAGGGAGGAUUUAGAAAUUAAAACGCACCCAGAAAAUCCCUUUUUUAACCUGGGCACCGGGGGUGGGGUAACACCGCCCGGUCACAGUCCUUCAUGGUGAUCAAAGA